This is a long non-coding RNA of Sapajus apella (tufted capuchin), 243 nucleotides long. RefSeq lists it as uncharacterized. The record is from RefSeq and is a predicted model, not a curated record. The transcript has 2 exons. NCBI's taxonomy places the organism in Eukaryota, Metazoa, Chordata, Mammalia, Primates, Cebidae.
GUGCUGGGAUUACAGGCAUGAACCACCAUGCCUGGCUGUAAACAUAACUUUUAUGUGCACUGGAAAACCAAAAAAUGUGUUUGUUGACUAGCUUUAUUGCAGUACUUGCUUUAUUGGGGUGGUCUGGAACCAGAGCCUUUAAUAACUCCCAAGUUGUGCCUGUAUACGAGUCAGUGGUCUUUUAAUAUAUUCAGAGUUGUACAGCCAUCACCACAAUUAACUUUAGAACAUUUUUAUCACCCU